CCUGGUGGCUCAGAUGGUAAAGCAUCUGCCUGCAAUGCGGGAGACCCAGGUUCGAUUCCUGGGUCAGGA
Ovis aries (sheep) is the source of this 69-nucleotide transfer RNA. It matches the Rfam family "tRNA". Rfam says of the family: Transfer RNA (tRNA) molecules are approximately 80 nucleotides in length. NCBI's taxonomy places the organism in Eukaryota, Metazoa, Chordata, Mammalia, Artiodactyla, Bovidae. The record is from Rfam.